UAGGGAAUCUUCCGCAAUGGACGCAAGUCUGACGGAGCAACGCCGCGUGAGUGAAGAAGGAUUUCGGUUCGUAAAACUCUGUUGUUAGAGAAGAACAGCGCAUAGAGUAACUGUUAUGCGUGUGACGGUAUCUAACCAGAAAGCCACGGCUAACUACGUGCCAGCAGCCGCGGUAAUACGUAGGUGGCAAGCGUUGUCCGGAUUUAUUGGGCGUAAAGCGAGCGCAGGCGGUCAAUUAAGUCUGAUGUGAAAGCCCCCGGCUCAACCGGGGAGGGUCAUUGGAAACUGGUUGACUUGAGUGCAGAAGAGGAGAGUGUAAUUCCAUGGGUAGCGGUGAAUUGCAUAGAUAUAUGGAGGAACACCAGUGGCGAAGGCGACUCUCUGGUCUGUAACUGACGCUGAGGCUCGAAAGCGUGGGUAGCAAACAGG
Molecule: ribosomal RNA, 429 nt
Filed under: Bacteroidota bacterium
Lineage: Bacteria; Pseudomonadati; Bacteroidota
Description: Bacteroidetes bacterium partial 16S ribosomal RNA
Rfam family: Bacterial small subunit ribosomal RNA
Source: RNAcentral